This 446-nucleotide long non-coding RNA is filed under the name Sorghum bicolor (sorghum). Its description in RNAcentral is "long non-coding RNA (SBIC_LNC003864)". Lineage: Eukaryota; Viridiplantae; Streptophyta; Magnoliopsida; Poales; Poaceae. The record is from RNAcentral.
AGCUCUCAACAGUGUAAAUAUAUAGUAACUAGAAAUCUUUAUUCUUCAUUUACACAUAUUUGUGGAUCCAAACUGAUAGCUAGCUCAUCACAAGCAAGCUGUACGCGAGAACACAAUAUCACAACUCAUAUAUAGGUACUGUAACUGUGCAUAAGCUAAACAAUAUGCAGAUGUGGUAAAAUGUGUGGAUAACUGGGGUGGGACUGUACGUCCGCUCAUGGUUUUGCCUCCGGCUCCGGGUAGUGGCCCUCCGGCUUCGGUGGCAGCUCAGCUUUCGGCAGAGGCGGCAACUCGUGGUUUGGCACCUCCGGAACGUCUGGGUGCGGCAGCUCUGGCACGGUCGGGUGAGGAGGGAGUUCAGGCUUUGGCAGCUCUGGCGCCACUGGGUGCGGCGGCACCUCAGGCUUUGGAAGCUCUGGGACGGCCGGGUGAGGAGGCAGCAGUUC